AUUGAACGCUGGCGGCAUGCCUUACACAUGCAAGUCGAACGGUAACGGGCCUUCGGGUGCCGACGAGUGGCGAACGGGUGAGUAAUAUAUCGGAACGUACCUUUCAGUGGGGGAUAACGUAGCGAAAGUUACGCUAAUACCGCAUAUUCUGUGCGCAGGAAAGCAGGGGACCUUCGGGCCUUGCGCUGAUUGAGCGGCCGAUAUCAGAUUAGCUAGUUGGUGAGGUAAAGGCUCACCAAGGCGACGAUCUGUAGCGGGUCUGAGAGGAUGAUCCGCCACACUGGAACUGAGACACGGUCCAGACUCCUUCGGGAGGCAGCAGUGGGGAAUUUUGGACAAUGGGGGCAACCCUGAUCCAGCCAUGCCGCGUGAGUGAAGAAGGCCUUCGGGUUGUAAAGCUCUUUCGGCCGGGAAGAAAUCGUAUGGGCUAAUACCCUGUGCGGAUGACGGUACCGGCAUAAGAAGCACCGGCUAACUACGUGCCAGCCGCCGCAGUAA
Molecule: ribosomal RNA, 498 nt
Filed under: uncultured bacterium
Lineage: Bacteria
Description: partial 16S ribosomal RNA
Rfam family: Bacterial small subunit ribosomal RNA
Source: RNAcentral